AUGAGAGUGUGCCAGGCACUGCCAAGGGUCCAGAGAGACAGGAGAACAGAGCUUCUAGUGGCACCAAGUUCCAGCUCUGUGAUUUUCUCCAGUAACCCCGAGAGAGGGCUGAUAGUUGAAUAAUUUACAGCUGGGUCUUAGCAGGAAAUGAAAACUCAAGAUGACAGGAUCCAAGCUAUGAAACCAGGAACAGGGCACAUCCACAGCAUCCAGAGAGAGGCUGGCAGUCUUCAGAGCUCACUCCCUGAGCUGGAUUCCUUCACUCAACACAUGAAAAGACUGGAGCCCACAGAGACAAACUAAGUGGGCCACAUCCUGAAUGCUACGUGGUUCCCAGAAUGCCACAAUUACGUGGAAAUCCAAAGGCCAUCCACCCAUUGAUGAGUAUUUACCAAAGGAUCAAGCCUGCCCCACUGACCACGUAUCUUACCGCAUGAGGCCUGCCCAGGUCCCCCAGUGCAGUCUGAGACAAAGGGUCACUACUGCCUGACUCAGGGGGUUCGGAUGCAGGCUGGCUGGCACCCACACUAAGCUCUGCCUCUAUCACUAUUAAAGGUAUCAUGUGAGCCUCAAAAAUGAAGAGAAAAAGAAAGAAGUAAAAUAACAGUGAUCAGCUUUUCUUUCCUUCCUCAACAAAUGUCUGACCUCCAGAGCUCUUGGACCACCACAACAAACAAGCUCAUCUUCAUUAACUUCUCUUUUAGCAAAAAAAGUAAA
This is a non-coding RNA of Odocoileus virginianus texanus, 717 nucleotides long. NCBI's taxonomy places the organism in Eukaryota, Metazoa, Chordata, Mammalia, Artiodactyla, Cervidae. The record is from RefSeq and is a predicted model, not a curated record.